This 440-nucleotide ribosomal RNA is filed under the name uncultured Syntrophomonas sp. RNAcentral describes it as "bacterial SSU rRNA". It matches the Rfam family "Bacterial small subunit ribosomal RNA", at positions 943 to 1382 of the family's 1533-position model. Lineage: Bacteria; Bacillati; Bacillota; Clostridia; Eubacteriales; Syntrophomonadaceae. The record is from RNAcentral.
GGAUUAAUUCGAUGCAACGCGAAGAACCUUACCAGGUCUUGACAUCCCACGAAUUCAUCUGAAAGGAUGGAGUGCCUUCGGGAGCGUGGAGACAGGUGGUGCAUGGUUGUCGUCAGCUCGUGUCGCGAGAUGUUGGGUUAAGUCCCGCAACGAGCGCAACCCUUGCUAUUAGUUGCUAACAGGUAGAGCUGAGCACUCUAAUGGGACUGCCGGUGACAAGCCGGAGGAAGGUGGGGAUGACGUCAAAUCAUCAUGCCCUUUAUGACCUGGGCUACACACGUGCUACAAUGGAUGGUACAGAGAGCAGCGAGGCAGCGAUGUGGAGCGAAUCUCAAAAAGCCAUUCUCAGUUCGGAUUGGAGUCUGCAACUCGACUCCAUGAAGUCGGAAUCGCUAGUAAUCGCGAAUCAGCAUGCCGCGGUGAAUGCGUUCCCGGGCCUU